Phoenix dactylifera (date palm) is the source of this 6295-nucleotide non-coding RNA. NCBI's taxonomy places the organism in Eukaryota, Viridiplantae, Streptophyta, Magnoliopsida, Arecales, Arecaceae. The record is from RefSeq and is a predicted model, not a curated record.
CCUCGCCCGCCGCCCGAAAUCGGCCGAUAAAUCGCCGAAACCCGCUACCGAUUACCCCCUUCCUUGGCCCCUCCUCCGCCGAUUCGCCCCCAAGGGCGAAAAAAUUGGGAAAAAGAAUUAAAAAUUUCAAAAAAAAGUCGAGAAUAUUUUUUCUCCUCUCCUCCCUUCCCACUCUCCACCACCGCCUCUCCCCCGGCGUACGCUGGCUAACGUGCACGCCGCCGCCCCCUAUUUAGACCGCCCCUCUCCCUCUCUUCUCAUCGAUUCUCCAAGUAAGAGUGUGAGGUGGACGUUGGACACUUCCAGUGCAAUGGCUUUCUUUAGGAGCUAUGGGAACAAGAUGGAAUCUGGGCAUGACUUGAAUGAGAAGGCAGGGGACAGUGGAACUGAGGAUGCAUAUGCUUCUGUCGGCAAUAGAGAUGGUGAUGUGAGUAUUAGCGAUAAGGAUGUUGAUAUAAAGGCAGAAGACACUUACCAGAGCGAAGAGGAGCCAUUUGAUUCUGGUAGACAGCAGAGUGAUACGUCUGGUUGGAAUGCCACUUCUAAAGGAAGAAGAACAACUCCUGGUCAAUGGGGCUCAAAUUUCUGGAGGGACUGCCAACCAAUGUGGGAGUCUAAAGAUGCAGAGUAUGAUGGUAAUAAAGGUGAGGAAGAAUCUGAUGUUAAUUCUUUAGAAGAAUCAGAUGGACAGGGAGAUGAUGGAAGGCCUCAUAGAGGGCAGGUUGAUGUACCUGCAGAUGAGAUGCUGUCUGAUGAUUAUUAUGAGCAGGAUGGUGAGGAGCAGAGUGACUCAUUGCAUUGCAGAGGACCGAGCCAUCCUAGCAACUCCGAUUUAAGAUUGCCACCGAAGCCAGCUUCCGGUAACAAGAGCAAGUCAAAGAGUACAAAGUCUGCAAAGUAUGAUGAAUACGGCAAUGAUGAGGACUAUGAGGAAGAAGAUGAGGAAGAAGAAGAUGAUCCGGACGAUGCUGAUUUUGAGCCAGAUUUGAGCGAAAUAGGAAGGGGUCCAAAGGACAAGGCGAAAUUGCCAGAGAGCGACGAUUUUGAUGAUGAUGAUGAUGAUGACGACGAUGAUGAGGACCUUGAUCUUUCUGAUGAAGAUGAUUUUAUCGAAAAUCCGCGACGAAAGGUGCGCCGUAAAGCUGGAUGCAAUCUGAAGUCCAAAGAAAUGAAAUCUUCUGUACAUAGUCGACGAAGAGGGAAAACUUUCUCAGAUGAUGAAUAUUCAUCAGGAAAAGAUUCAGAAGAUGAUACUGAUGAAGACUUUGACCAUAAAAUAAGGAGAUCAUCACAAUUACGUAAAAAAGUUGGAGGUCGGUCAACCAUGUCGGCAAAUGUGAAUUCUCAUGGUAGCGAGCUUCGCACAUCUGGUAGGUCAGUGAAAAAAAUUUCGUAUGCUGAAAGUGAGGAAAGUGAAGAUGAUGAUGAAGAAAGAUCAAAUAAGACCCAAAAGGUUUUGCAGGAGGAUGCUGAAGAAGAUGAUGGAGAUUCAAUUGAAAAGGUACUCUGGCACCAGCCAAAAGGAAGGGCUGAAGAAGCUAUGAGGAACAACCAGUUAACUCUCCCUGUUGUGCUGAGCACAAUGUCAGACUCCGAACCUGAUUGGGAUGAAGUGGAAUUUUAUAUAAAAUGGAAAGGACACUCAUAUUUACACUGCCAGUGGAAACUGAUCUCCGAUCUUCAAAAUCUUACUGGAUUUAAAAAGGUUUUGAACUACAUGAAAAAAGUGUCUGAAGAAAGAAAAUACAAAAAGGCCUUGUCACGUGAGGAGGCUGAGGUUCAUGAUGUAAGCAAGGAAAUGGAGUUAGACCUACUUAAACAGUACAGCCAGGUAGAAAGGAUAUUUGCAGAUAGAAUCAGUAAAGUUGAUGGUGAUGAGGUGGUGCCUGAGUAUUUAGUCAAGUGGCAAGGGCUUUCUUAUGCUGAAGCAACCUGGGAAAAGGACACUGAUAUUGCGUUUGCUCAAGAUGCAAUAGAUGAAUACAAGGCUCGUGAGGCUGCCAUGACUGUGCAAGGAAAGAUGGUUGACUUCCAGCGGAAGAAAAGCAAAGCUAGUUUGCGAAAGCUUGAUGAGCAACCUGAAUGGCUGAAAGGAGGUAAACUUCGUGAUUAUCAACUGGAGGGCUUGAAUUUUCUUGUUAACAGCUGGAGAAAUGAUACAAAUGUCAUCUUAGCUGAUGAAAUGGGUCUUGGUAAAACCGUUCAGUCGGUUUCUAUGUUAGGCUUUCUUCAGAAUACUCAACAAAUUCAUGGUCCUUUUCUUGUUGUUGUACCACUCUCGACGUUGUCAAACUGGGCAAGAGAAUUCAGAAAGUGGCUUCCUGAAAUGAAUAUAGUGGUAUAUGUUGGAAAUCGUGCUAGCAGAGAGAUCUGUCAGCAAUUUGAAUUCUUUACAAACAAGAAGAGUGGCAGACAUAUAAAAUUCAAUACUUUGUUAACCACAUACGAAGUGAUAUUAAAGGAUAAAGCUGUGUUAUCUAAGAUUAAGUGGAACUACCUGAUGGUUGAUGAGGCUCAUAGAUUGAAGAAUAGUGAAGCAUCAUUGUAUACAACUCUUUCGGAAUUCAGCACCAAAAACAAGCUUCUUAUCACUGGUACCCCACUUCAGAACAGUGUUGAGGAGCUAUGGGCCCUCCUACAUUUCCUUGAUCCUGUAAAGUUUAAUAAUAAGGAUGAUUUUGUUGAGAAAUACAAGAACUUAAGUUCUUUCAAUGAAAUUGAGCUUGCUAAUCUUCACAUGGAAUUGAGGCCACACAUUCUCCGAAGAGUCAUAAAAGAUGUUGAGAAGUCCUUGCCCCCCAAAAUUGAGCGCAUUCUUAGGGUAGAAAUGUCUCCUCUUCAGAAACAGUAUUACAAGUGGAUUUUGGAGCGUAAUUUCCACAAUUUGAAUAAAGGUGUUCGUGGGAAUCAAGUUUCACUCUUGAAUAUUGUUGUUGAGUUGAAGAAAUGCUGCAAUCAUCCUUUCUUGUUUGAAAGUGCGGAUCAUGGAUAUGGUGGAGAUAACAGCACUAGAGAUAGUAAUAAAGUUGAGCGCAUUGUUUUGAGCAGUGGGAAGCUAGUAAUCCUUGACAAACUACUUAUUAGGCUGCGGGAGACAAAUCACCGUGUUUUAAUUUUCUCUCAGAUGGUUAGGAUGUUGGACAUACUUGCAGAGUAUUUAUCGCUUAGAGGAUUCCAAUUUCAGAGGCUUGAUGGUAGUACAAGGGCUGAUCUGCGCCAGCAGGCCAUGGAGCAUUUUAAUGCACCUGGAAGUGAUGAUUUCUGUUUCCUUCUUUCAACACGUGCUGGUGGGCUGGGCAUUAACCUUGCUACUGCAGAUACUGUUAUAAUAUUCGACUCAGACUGGAAUCCUCAAAAUGAUUUGCAGGCAAUGAGUAGAGCGCAUAGGAUAGGACAACAAGAAGUUGUCAACAUCUACCGAUUUGUUACUAGCAAAAGUGUGGAGGAGGAUAUCUUGGAGCGUGCUAAGAAAAAGAUGGUUUUAGAUCACCUGGUUAUUCAGAAGCUAAAUGCAGAGGGAAGACUUGAGAAGAAAGAGACGAAGAAAGGCAGUUCUAUGUUUGACAAGAAUGAACUUUCUGCAAUAUUGAGGUUUGGAGCAGAGGAAUUGUUUAAGGAAGACAAAAAUGAGGAAGAGAGCAAAAGACGACUUGAAAGUUUGGAUAUUGAUGAAAUUCUUGAGAGAGCUGAGAAAGUUGAAUCUAAGGGCACUGAUGGGGAGCCAGGAAAUGAAUUGCUAAGUGCUUUCAAGGUUGCCAAUUUCUGCAGUGCUGAAGAUGAUGCAACAUUUUGGAGUCGGUUGAUACAACCAGAAGCUGUGGAACAAGCUGAUGAAGCAUUAGCACCACGUGCUGCAAGAAAUACGAGGAGCUAUGCUGAAAAUAACCAAGCUGAGAAAAGUACAAAACGGAAAAAGAGAGCCCUUGAGCCUCGAGAAAAAGCUCAGAAGCGUUCAACCAGAGCUGCGGAUGCUUCAGUCUAUUCAUUGCCAAUGAUUGAGGGAGCAACAGCUCUAGCAAGGGAGUGGUCCUAUGGAAAUUUAUCGAAGAAAGAUGCUUCACAUUUUGUCCGAGCGGUCAAGCGGUUUGGAAACUCAAGCCAAAUUGACUUAAUCGUGGCUGAGGUUGGUGGUAUAAUUGAAACAGCUCCUCCUGAGGUCCAGAUUGAGCUAUUUGAGCUGUUGAUUGAUGGUUGUCAAGAAGCAGUUAGAAGAGGAAAUAUGGAUGUGAAGGGAACUCUUUUGGAUUUUUUUGGUGUACCUGUAAAGGCAUAUGAAGUAUUAGAUCGUGUCGAAGAGCUUCAGCUUCUAGCAAAACGCAUUGGACGAUACAAAGAUCCAGUUUCUCAAUUUCGUUUGAUAACACAACAUAAAAGCCCACAGUGGUCAAAAAGCUGUGGUUGGAAUUCAGUUGAUGAUGCAAGGUUGCUUCUUGGAAUACACUAUCAUGGAUAUGGGAAUUGGGAAAAGAUAAGGUUGGACCCUAGGUUGGGUCUUACAAGGAAAAUUGCUCCCGUAACUCUUGGGGAACGGGAAACUUUUUUACCCCGUGCUCCUAACUUAGAUAAUCGUGCUAGUGCUCUUCUAGCAAAGGAGUUUGCUAGUGUUAGUGGAAAGGGAUCUAAAGUUAAGGGGUCUCGUAAAAUUGCUAAGACUGAAGUAGAUAACAUAUCAAGAACAUCAAAUAGUCGAUCAAGAGAUGCAAACUCAAAGUUGCCUAAAGUGAACCCUAGAUCAAACAAAGAUCAUAUUCAGAGACACCAGAAAGCAGAACCUCGGGUCAAAGAAGAAGGUGAAAUAUCAGAGUCUGAGCAAGAAAGGUAUCAGCAGUUCAAGGAGGAAAAGUGGAUGGAAUGGUGUGCAGAUGUCAUGGAGGAGGAAGAGCAAACAUUGAAACGUCUACAAAGGUUGCAGACUACCAGUUUAGAUCUUCCAAAGGAAAAGGUUCUUGCUAGAAUUAGAAAAUACCUCCAACUUAUUGGAAGAAAGAUUGACAAAAUUGUUCAACAGCAUGAAGUAUCAUAUAAACAAUCACGAAUGACAAUGAGAUUGUGGAAUUAUGUGUCUGCCUAUUCCAAUCUGAGUGGUGAAAGGCUAUAUGAGAUCUAUGCGAAACUUAAAGAGGAGCAAGCUGAAGUGGGUGUAGGACCCUCCCAUCUCAACAGUUCUGCCCCAGGCCCUGCUGACAGAGACAGUGAUACAAGUCAGUGCCCUCUGUUCAGCAAUGACUUGCGGAAAAGACCAAGACCUUAUCAAUUUCCACCCCAAUCUUCAGAAGCAUUUCAUAGGAAUCACACCUCAGGAAAGACAGAAGCAUGGAAACGUCGGAGAAGAACAGACAUGGACAACCAGUUCCUAUCCCAGCCCUCCUAUCAACAGCCCAUCAUAAGUAAUGGGAACCGCAUACCCGAACCAAGCAAUUCUGCAGGGAUUCUUGGUUGGGCCCCAGUAGAGAUGGGGCGAUUUGGCAAUGGAAGACCCCGUAGAGCACAUCCUGGCCGCUUUCCCCCAGGACAGGGUCAUAUGUCAGAACUCUAGUCUCUAACAGUCCAUCACCAUGAUGAUGAUAUUUUGUUGUAUGAGAAGGUGAAGCUGCUUUCACCAGGUGGCUGCCACCCUGCAGUUAAAUUUACUCAAAUUUUUUUCUCAAGGAAAUAAAGGUUUGCCGAUCCCAUUUUAUGAUCUUAAGGACCGGUCUGAAGCUGCUGUUCCAUGUUGAGAGAAUCUCAUGUCACAAAAUGGUGACCAUGUGAGAGGAAACAGGUCUAGAUUCUUCUGACUAAAGCCAAAAGCUGCGUUCAAGAGGUGAAAACGAAGGAUCUGCAAAAGUUUUGACAGGGUGGGGUGCUAUGUUGGCUGGAGAGGAACGACGCCACUGCAUUUUCUAUCAUUUUAGGCAGAUGUCGUCGUUGUGCAAUUUUGCAUUGUGAAUGCAGCAAGAAUGAGAUGAUGUACGGAUUUUGGAGAAUCUUUAUUUUUUUUUAAUCAAUAAUAUCGAACUAGUAAAUUACAAGCCGAGAAGGGAGAUCUGUUAAAGGCAGAAGGUUUACAUCUAUAAUCAAGAUUAAGUUGAGGACCAGGUCCUGGUUGAUUUAAACUAUUAUAUUUUAAUAAUUGUCUAUAAUUAAUGUAUCAAUAUGCUGUUAUCUCUUUGGCAUGACAUAUGCCUUGAAGGUGAAUAAAAUUUUCUGUAUGAAGAAUGGUCCUGUAAAUACUUUCCAGGUUACGUUGAAAGUGUUGUUUUUGUUCAGACGAGACGAUGAAGGCAAUUUUACAGAGCUUUUGGCCAAUAUUGUA